AGUUCUAGAUGUCCUUCAGGUGGCCGUAGGCCAUAACAGGGAAUCCGGUGCGAAGCCGGAGCGGUCCCGCCGCUGUAAUCCCCCAUGGAGGUCCGGUCCGAAUGCCACUGCCGCGAGGCGGGAAGGCGGGCCGGGCGGGGAGAGUCAGAAGACCUACCUGAAGCGUUUCCUGCCG
RNAcentral lists this non-coding RNA (175 nucleotides) under Desulfovibrio desulfuricans. The record is from RNAcentral. Lineage: Bacteria; Pseudomonadati; Thermodesulfobacteriota; Desulfovibrionia; Desulfovibrionales; Desulfovibrionaceae.